GCGCCACCGCGGAAGUGCGCCACCGCGAGUGCGUCCGGCCCGCAGAUGACGCUCCUUUGGGGGCGGGCGGACUAGUCCAGCCGUGAGUGGCGGAGCGCUAGUGCCCGCCCCCAGGAUGGCCCAAUCAGAAAGGAGGGGAGGCGGGGACCCCAGGCGCGGCUGGGUCGGCCGCCGGGCCAAUCGGAGGAGCGCUGACUUGGCGGGAGCCUUGACCGCGGCCGCGCUCGCGGGGCUUCUGCGCCGGGGAGGGCGUCCCGCCGCCGGGGCCAUGUUCGUGUCCGAUUUCCGCAGGGAGUUCUACGAGGUGGUCCAGAGCCAGAGGGUCCUGCUUGUCGUGGCCGCCGACGUGGACGCCCUGUGCGCCUGCAAGAUCCUGCAGGCCCUGUUCCAGUGUGACCACGUGCAGUAUACGCUGGUUCCAGUUUCUGGGUGGCAAGAACUUGAAACUGCGUUUCUUGAACAUAAAGAACAGUUCCGCUAUUUUAUCCUCAUAAACUGUGGCGCUAACGUGGACCUUUUGGAUAUCCUUCAACCCGACGAAGACACCGUGUUUUUCGUGUGUGACACGCACAGGCCGGUCAACGUCGUGAACGUGUACAACGAGGUCCAGAUUAAACUGCUCAUUAAACAAGAUGACGACCUUGAAGUUCCUGCGUACGAUGACAUCUUCAGGGAUGAGGAUGAGGGUGAAGACCACUCGGGAAACGAAAGCGACGAGGGCUCAGAGCCUUCCGAGAAGCGCACACGGUUGGAGGAGGAGAUCGCGGAGCGAACCUUGAAGAGGAGGCAGAGAAGAGAGUGGGAGGCCCGGAGGAGAGACAUCCUCUUUGACUACGAGCAGUACGAGUAUCACGGGACAGCGGCGGCCAUGCUGAUGUUCGAUCUGGCGUGGAUGAUGUCCAAGGACCUGGGCGACAUGCUGUGGUGGGCCAUCGUUGGACUCACGGACCAGUGGGUGCAAGACAAGAUCACCCAGAUGAAGUACGUGACCGACGUGGGCCUCCUGCAGCGGCACGUGUCCCGGCACAACCACCGGCACGAGGACGACGAGCACGCGCUCUCCGUCGACUGCAUGCGCAUCUCCUUUGAGUACGACCUCCGCCUGGCGCUCUACCAACACUGGUCACUGCACGACAGCCUGUGUAACACGUGCUACACCGCAGCCAGGUUCAAGCUCUGGUCCCUGCACGGGCAGAAGCGGCUGCAGGAGUUCCUCGCAGACGUUGGUCUCCCCCUGAAACAGGUGAAGCAGAAGUUUCAGUCCAUGGACGUCUCCUUGAAGGAGAAUUUGCGGGAGAUGAUUGAAGAGUCUGCGAAUAAAUUUGGCAUGAAGGACAUGCGUAUCCAGACGUUCAGCGUCCAUUUUGGCUUCAAGCAUAAGUUCCUGGCCAGUGAUGUGGUCUUCGCCACCAUGUCUCUGAUGGAGAGCCCUGAGAAGGACGGCUCCGGGACGGAUAACUUCAUCCAGGCUCUGGACAGUCUCUCCAGGGGGAACCUGGACACGCUGUACCGCGGCCUGGAGCUCGCCAAGCGGCGGCUGCGCGCCACACAGCAGACCAUCGCCAGCUGCCUCUGCACCAACCUCGUCAUCUCCCAGGGGCCCUUCCUCUACUGCUCCCUCAUGGAGGUCAGCUCCCCGCCGGCGCGCGGCCCCAGCCCCGCCCGCUGGCUGCCCCUGACCGCCUGCCCCCACCCCGCCCUGCAGGGCACCCCAGACGUCGCACUCUUCUCCAGGCCAGCCGCCCUGAGCCUGCUCGGCAAGCAGCUUCUCAAGUCCUUCGUGUGCUCGACAAAGAACCGGCGCUGCAAGCUGCUGCCCUUGGUGAUGGCCGUGCCCCUGGGCGUGCAGCAGGGCACCGUCACCCUGGUGGGCAUCCCCCCAGAGACUGACAGCUCUGACCGAAAGAAGCCACGAGCUAUGAGUCGGGAGACAAUGGCUCCUGAGACACGUGCCUCCCUGCGGCCGGGCUGCUUCCGGAGCUCUGCCGGGGGUCUCAGAUCCCACGUCACGUGGGUGGGAGCCGGCCAGAGGCUCCUGGGCUGGGUUCCUGAGGCGGCACCAAGGCCGCCUGCGUCCGCUGGGGCCGCCAGUCUGUGCGCGCCUGGGACAGUCGGUGGUGGGCUCGCCGGCCGCACACAGUCUCCUGCGGGGGCAGCUGUGGAGGCGGGGACACUCGCCCCCUCUGUGCGCCCUCCGCUCUCCGCCCUCCAUCCUCUGCCACAGGCCCUGGAGCCCCUCCCCAGGUGCUCCCUGUCUCCACCACACGGCCCCCUCGCGGCAGCUGCAGCCAGGCUGCUCCCUGGGGGUCUCCUGCUCCCCCAACGCGCUGCAGACCCUUCCCUGUCCCCGUCCCACCUGCCUCUCGCCUGCCCGGCCACCAGCACGGUGUCGGGGGGCCAUCCAGGAACACGCCCGCCUGAGGGCUGAGAGGGCUGGUGGGAGGCGGUGGCUGUGCAGAGAGGGGGCUGAGGCCUCGGCUGGUGGCCGGUGAGGGUCUGCUGUGUCCCCGGUGGGGAGGGUCCGCUGCAGGGACAGCCCCGAUGCACCUCUGUGUGUCCCCAGCUUUUUCGGCCGGGCGUUUGAGAAGGCAGCAGAGGGCACCAGCUCCCGGACCCUACACAACCACUUCGAUCUGUCAGUGAUUGAGCUGAAAGCCGAGCACCGCAGCAAGUUCCUGGACGCGCUCGUGUCC
Molecule: RNA transcript, 2693 nt
Organism: Hippopotamus amphibius kiboko
Lineage: Eukaryota; Metazoa; Chordata; Mammalia; Artiodactyla; Hippopotamidae
Gene: CDC45
Gene name: cell division cycle 45
Exons: 17
Source: RefSeq, a predicted model, not a curated record